Molecule: small nuclear RNA, 109 nt
Organism: Pteropus vampyrus (large flying fox)
Lineage: Eukaryota; Metazoa; Chordata; Mammalia; Chiroptera; Pteropodidae
Source: Ensembl
GUGCUCACUUCAGCAGGACUUACACUAAACUUGCAAUGAUACUGAGAAGAUUAACAUGGCUCCUGUGCAAGGAUCACACGCACACACAAAUCACAAUAUCUGAAUUUUU